CCUACGUGAGGCAGCAGUGAGGAAUAUUGGUCAAUGGGCGCGAGCCUGAACCAGCCAAGUAGCGUGAAGGAUGACUGCCCUACGGGUUGUAAACUUCUUUUAUAAAGGAAUAAAGUGAGGCACGUGUGCCUUUUUGUAUGUACUUUAUGAAUAAGGAUCGGCUAACUCCGUGCCAGCAGCCGCGGUAAUACGGAGGAUCCGAGCGUUAUCCGGAUUUAUUGGGUUUAAAGGGAGCGUAGAUGGGUUGUUAAGUCAGUUGUGAAAGUUUGCGGUUCAACCGUAAAAUUGCAAUUGAUACUGGCAGUCUUGAGUACAGUUGAGGUAGGCGGAAUUCGUGGUGUAGCGGUGAAAUGCUUAGAUAUCACGAAGAACUCCGAUUGCGAAGGCAGCUUACUAAACUGCCACUGACAUUGAUGCUCGAAAGUGUGGGUAUCAAACAGGAUUAGAUACCCUUGUAGUC
This 460-nucleotide ribosomal RNA is filed under the name uncultured bacterium. RNAcentral's name for it is "partial 16S ribosomal RNA". It matches the Rfam family "Bacterial small subunit ribosomal RNA", at positions 338 to 795 of the family's 1533-position model. The record is from RNAcentral.